CAAACUUUUGUAAAAGGAGUAUUACUCCCAAAUUCAUAACUUCAUAUAAUUCUCUAUCUCCUCCUCUCCUUGUAAUUAUACAGGAAAGGUCUUGUAUUAAUCUUUCUAUCAGUAGACAGGAUAGGGACCUUUCUUAAAAAAAAAAAUAAAGAAAAAGAAAAAAGAGAGAUCAACCCCUUUCCAUCUUUUAUCAAGGUGAAGUCCUUUUCCAUUUAUAUAAAUAUUGCUCCUCAUAGUAAAUUGUUGGUGUAAACCUCACAAAGAUAAUAGCACUCGACUAUGUGACAGAGCCCAUAGAUUUACCACCAAGUACACUGCUGUUCUUAUCUACAACCAUGUAAUCAAAAAGUUAAAAAUGUAACUCUUCCAUGCAGCACACAUAAGCCACAUAAUGCAUGUAUCAAUUAAAAUAGAUUUUGUAAAAAGUGACAUUUUUUUGAAGAAUGUGUAGUUAAAAAGUAGAUAAAAAUUUUGGGUUUACAUGCAAUAUUAUUUUAUUGGGAGAGUGGUUAAAAAUGAGUUUGGGGAAAAAUGAGCUUAAAGAAUGGGGAUCAAACAAAGGAUAUAUUUGACACCAUGCUGGGUUCAAGCACAUAUAGUUUUGUUCCACCACCUUCCCAUCAUUAAUUGCUCCUAUUUGAACUUCAACCUUGCUUCAUAAACAUAUAAUGUCAAAACAAUUUGCAUAAUGAUUAAAGAUUAAGAACUCUCAGUGCUCAUUCAAAAUACAAUGCUAAAAUUAACAAGUAUCCUUUAUAGUUCUGCUUCCACUAGAUCCUUUUUGGGGACAAGGCAGGUUGUCAUUAUUUUCAUCUUUCCCAUGUGCAGUUGUUGUCAAAGGUACUUCACAU
This 851-nucleotide long non-coding RNA is filed under the name Olea europaea subsp. europaea. Lineage: Eukaryota; Viridiplantae; Streptophyta; Magnoliopsida; Lamiales; Oleaceae. The record is from RNAcentral.